CCUAACCAGAAAGCCACGGCUAACUACGUGCCAGCAGCCGCGGUAAUACGUAGGUGGCAAGCGUUAUCCGGAAUUAUUGGGCGUAAAGCGCGCGCAGGUGGUUUCUUAAGUCUGAUGUGAAAGCCCACGGCUCAACCGUGGAGGGUCAUUGGAAACUGGGAGACUUGAGUGCAGAAGAGGAAAGUGGAAUUCCAUGUGUAGCGGUGAAAUGCGUAGAGAUAUGGAGGAACACCAGUGGCGAAGGCGACUUUCUGGUCUGUAACUGACACUGAGGCGCGAAAGCGUGGGGAGCAAACAGGAUUAGAUACCCUGGUAGUCCACGCCGUAAACGAUGAGUGCUAAGUGUUAGA
This 350-nucleotide ribosomal RNA is filed under the name Bacillus thuringiensis. Its description in RNAcentral is "bacterial SSU rRNA". It matches the Rfam family "Bacterial small subunit ribosomal RNA", at positions 478 to 827 of the family's 1533-position model. The record is from RNAcentral. Lineage: Bacteria; Bacillati; Bacillota; Bacilli; Caryophanales; Bacillaceae.